This 1300-nucleotide ribosomal RNA is filed under the name metagenome. RNAcentral describes it as "bacterial LSU rRNA". It matches the Rfam family "Bacterial large subunit ribosomal RNA", at positions 1635 to 2925 of the family's 2925-position model. The record is from RNAcentral.
UACACGACCGUACCGCAAACCGACACUGGUGCGCGAGAUGAGUAUUCUAAGGCGCUUGAGAGAACUCAGGAGAAGGAACUCGGCAAAUUGACACCGUAACUUCGGAAGAAGGUGUGCCUUUAGUAGGUGAACCUGUACAAGGGGAGCCCAAUGAGGUUGCAAAAAAUCGGUGGCUGCGACUGUUUAAUAAAAACACAGCACUCUGCAAACACGAAAGUGGACGUAUAGGGUGUGACGCCUGCCCGGUGCUGGAAGAUUAAAUGAUGGGGUGCAAGCUCUUGAUUGAAGUCCCAGUAAACGGCGGCCGUAACGAUAACGGUCCUAAGGUAGCGAAAUUCCUUGUCGGGUAAGUUCCGACCUGCACGAAUGGCGUAACGAUGGCCUCACUGUCUCCUCCUGAGACUCAGCGAAGUUGAAAUGUUUGUGAUGAUGCAAUCUCCCCGCGGAAAGACGGAAAGACCCCAUGAACCUUUACUGUAGCUUUGUAUUGGACUUUGAACAGAUCUGUGUAGGAUAGGUGGGAGGCUUUGAAGUGUGGUCGCUAGAUCGCAUGGACCCAACGUUGAAAUACCACCCUGGUGUGUUUGAGGUUCUAACCUAGGCCCGUAAUCCGGGUCGGGGACAGUGCAUGGUAGGCAGUUUGACUGGGGCGGUCUCCUCCCAAAGCGUAACGGAGGAGUUCGAAGGUACGCUAGGUACGGUCGGACAUCGUGCUAAUAGUGCAAUGGCAUAAGCGUGCUUAACUGCGAGACUGACAAGUCGAGCAGAUGCGAAAGCAGGACAUAGUGAUCCGGUGGUUCUGUAUGGAAGGGCCAUCGCUCAACGGAUAAAAGGUACUCUGGGGAUAACAGGCUGAUACCGCCCAAGAGUUCAUAUCGACGGCGGUGUUUGGCACCUCGAUGUCGGCUCAUCUCAUCCUGGGGCUGUAGCCGGUCCCAAGGGUAUGGCUGUUCGCCAUUUAAAGAGGUACGUGAGCUGGGUUUAAAACGUCGUGAGACAGUUUGGUCCCUAUCUUCCGUGGGCGCUGCAGAUUUGAGGAAGCCUGCUCCUAGUACGAGAGGACCGGAGUGGACACACCUCUGGUGUAUCGGUUGUCACGCCAGUGGCAUUGCCGAGUAGCUAUGUGUGGAAGAGAUAACCGCUGAAAGCAUCUAAGCGGGAAACUCGUUUCAAGAUGAGAUCUGCCGGGGCCUUGAGCCCCCUAAAGAGUCGUUCAAGACCAGGACGUUGAUAGGUCGGGUGUGGAAGCGCAGUAAUGCGUUAAGCUAACCGAUACUAAUUGCUCGUGCGGCUUGACCUA